This 719-nucleotide ribosomal RNA is filed under the name Pristimantis sp. DHMECN 14985. RNAcentral's name for it is "partial large subunit ribosomal RNA". It matches the Rfam family "Archaeal large subunit ribosomal RNA", at positions 1482 to 2559 of the family's 2987-position model. Lineage: Eukaryota; Metazoa; Chordata; Amphibia; Anura; Strabomantidae. The record is from RNAcentral.
AUCAGACCCCUUUAAUAACACUGAGAACUUCUAUAAAAUUAUAGAACUUUUUAUGCUAAAACUAGUAACAAGAGAUCACCUCCCUCUAUAAUGCGAGUAUAGGUCAGCAAGAACCCACCGCUGACAAUUAACAGACCUAAAUAUAAGUAACAACCACCCACAAGAAAACCCUACUCAAUAUAACUGUUAACCUAACACCAGAGCAUUCCAAGAAAGAUUAAAAGAAAGAGAAGGAAUUCCGCAAACAUAGCCCCGCCUGUUUACCAAAAACAUCGCCUCUUGCCCCCCCCCCAUAAGAGGUCUAGCCUGCCCAGUGACUCUGUUUAACGGCCGCGGUAUACUAACCGUGCGAAGGUAGCGUAAUCACUUGUUUCCUAAAUAGAGACUAGUAUGAAAGGCAUCACGAGGACUAGACUGUCUCCUCUCUCUAAUCAGUGAACCUAAUAACCCCGUGAAGAAGCGGGGAUUCUUAUAUAAGACGAGAAGACCCUAUGGAGCUUAAAACAUCAUCUCACCUGCCUCCUCAUUAAAUUUUUACUCACGGCACACUGAUUAUAUGUUUUUGAUUGGGGUGAUCGCGGAGAAAAACCCAUCCUCCGUAAUGAACGGAACUUCCUUAAACAACAAGAGACAACUUUAUGUAUCAGCAAACUGACAUUAUUGACCCAAUACAUUUGAUUAACGAACCAAGUUACCCUAGGGAUAACAGCGCAAUCCAC